GCGUCAAGUACCAAGUUGUAUGACUCUGAGUGAACGGCUGCAAAAUUUGUGAAAAAAGUUAGCAUUUGUCAAGUACCAUGUUAUAUGACCCUGAGUGAACGGCUACAAAAUUUGUGAAAAUAAUUAGCAUGCGUGGAGUACCAGGUUAUUCAACCCUGAGUGACCAGCUGCAAAAUUAGUGAAAAAAGUUAGCAUGCUAACAGUUAGCAUGGGUCAAGUACCAUGUUAUAUGACCCUGAAUGAACAGCUACAAAUUAGUGUAAAAAGUUAUCUGUGGUAUUUUGUUAGUUUGUUGUCCAUGCACUUGUCGCGUUCUUGCUCGCAAAACACCUUUCGCUUUUAGAUGGUCUUUUAAACUUGCUUCAGUAAGAGAUUCACGACUGUUCAAUCUGACGGUUAGCGGCCUAAAAAUGUUUUACCAGGUUGUUGUUUUUUUAUAUUGUUGCAAUGUUUCCCCGACCCCCGCAUUUGGACACCCCUGCAUUGAACGCAACUAAUGUUAUGUUCCAUUUAUGUAACCAAGUCAGUCAGUCGAAAAUGGCGUUACGUAACGUGACAAUCACAACCACUCUCAUUCAACAAUAAAGAUGACGUCGUCGCUAAAAGCCCCAAAAUGGACCCGCUUGUGUUGUCUCUCGCCUGGAGGACACUUGUUGUUGACGCUUACAUAAGUCGCUAACACACGUGUUCCCUCAAGCGUGCAUUGCAGACGGGACUGGUAUAAAAGCUCUCCAUGCAGCGGAGAGGGUCGCUGCCUUUGGCUCCCUGCUGAGGUUCUGACUGCUACACCCGUGUCUGGAAGGAAGGACGGCGGCAGCAAUGAUCGUCAGACUGGGAAGGCUAACUCCGGGCUACUUCCGCCUCCUGCAGAGGCAGGCGUCGGGCGAGGUGAGGACGCUGCCGUCCGGCGGCCUCAUCAAUCCCGUCGCCGUGACGAUGGCGGCGGCGGGGCUGUGCGUGAGCCUCUACAGCGCCGUGCAGAUGGCGAACCGGCCCGCAGUUUGACCACCAGGACGCCACGAGGGUGUGCGAGGAAGUUGACGACGACGGCGGAGGAUGAAAAUGAGGGAGGUUUGUGCAUGAAGGGACUGUAAGGUGGGCUGCGAUAACAACCCCAGACGCUCAAUAUUUCAGGACUAUUUCCACGGCAGGGGUGUCCAAACUUUGUAGGCCAACACAUAAUAAAAACAAAUGUUAGUCUGACAUCUUGCACAAAUGAUGUUCUUUUCACGUCGGACACCCUUGUUCACAUGCUUUCCCUUUUGGAAUAUUCACCCUUGAAUGUAGCGUAGGACUUGUGUUUUAGUGAUGACACCAUGCACUUCCCCUGCAUUGUGUUACAUUCCACCGACUGAUUCCCAAAUAAACACAAUCCUGUUCUCA
Molecule: long non-coding RNA, 1383 nt
Organism: Nerophis lumbriciformis (worm pipefish)
Lineage: Eukaryota; Metazoa; Chordata; Actinopteri; Syngnathiformes; Syngnathidae
Source: RefSeq, a predicted model, not a curated record